ACGGGUGAGUAACGCGUGAGCAACCUGCCCUUCGGAACGGGAUAGUGUCUGGAAACGGCUGCUAAUACCGCAUAAGCGCACGAGGAGACAUCUCCUUGUGUGAAAAACUCCGGUGGUACAGGAUGGGCCCGCGUCUGAUUAGCUGGUUGGCAGGGUAACGGCCUACCAAGGCAACGAUCAGUAGCCGGUCUGAGAGGAUGAACGGCCACAUUGGAACUGAGACACGGUCCAAACUCCUACGGGAGGCAGCAUG
RNAcentral lists this ribosomal RNA (253 nucleotides) under uncultured bacterium. Its description in RNAcentral is "partial 16S ribosomal RNA". It matches the Rfam family "Bacterial small subunit ribosomal RNA", at positions 102 to 353 of the family's 1533-position model. The record is from RNAcentral.